RNAcentral lists this ribosomal RNA (464 nucleotides) under uncultured bacterium. Its description in RNAcentral is "bacterial SSU rRNA". It matches the Rfam family "Bacterial small subunit ribosomal RNA", at positions 11 to 507 of the family's 1533-position model. The record is from RNAcentral.
GUUUGAUCCUGGCUCAGAGCGAACGCUAGCGGCGAGCUUAACACAUGCAAGUCGAGCGGAGGGUUUCGGCCCUCAGCGGCGGACGGGUGAGUAACACGUAGGUUACGUGCCCUUUGGUGGGGAAUAACUUAGGGAAACCUGAGCUAAUACCGCAUAUGCCCUUCGGGGUGAAAGUCUUCGGACGCCAGAGGAUCGGCCUGCGGCCCAUUAUUUAAUCCUUGUUGGUGGGGUAACGGCCUACCAAGGGUACGAUGGGUAGCUGGUCUGAGAGGAUGAUCAGCCACACUGGGACUGAGACACGGCCCAGACUCCUACGGGAGGCAGCAGUGGGGAAUAUUGGACAAUGGGGGAAACCCUGAUCCAGCUACGCCGCGUGGGUGAUGAAGGCCUCGGUUGUAAAGCCUGUCGAGGGGGACGAAGUUACUGACGGUACCCCUCCAAGAAAGACACCGGCUAACUCCGUG